Molecule: non-coding RNA, 2264 nt
Organism: Microcebus murinus (gray mouse lemur)
Lineage: Eukaryota; Metazoa; Chordata; Mammalia; Primates; Cheirogaleidae
Source: RefSeq, a predicted model, not a curated record
UCUCCUGCUAAAUACCUCUUGGUAGCAUCUACAUUUGGAAAGAUAAUAGAGAAGCCUAAUCUACACGAUGUGUUUUCCAGGGCUGAGCUGGUACUUUAUGAUGGAGAAAUGGAAGCUUGGCAAGCUUUAAAGCCUUGCCCAAGCUCCCCUGAGCUGGUGACGAGCAGACCAGGAGGGCGACCGUGGCUCAGUGACUUUCCACCACGGUGUGCAGCUGACAGAAAGGUCUGACAUCUUGUCAUGGGAGUCCUGCGUGGAGCAGAGACCUCUCAGUGGAGGACAAGGAAGAGGCAGCGGACUCGCUGAGCAUCCGUGGAGACUCUCACAGCCUUGCUCAAGGGGGCACUAAGGUGGAACCUGCAGUGACUGCAGCCGGGACCAGGCAGCUGGGACAGAGCCCCAGACAGAGGGACCAGUCAGGCAGGAGGAGGUGGGAGGUGCUCAGGGAAGCAGGGCAGGACAGCAGAGGGGAUAGCUGAGCAGCUCUGCCAGGUCCCAGCGUGGCAGGCAGAGGGGGGAAAUCUGGGAUGGAGGAGGUCAGUGCAGUGGGCGGUGGGAGUGGAAAGAUGGGGAGAGAUCAAGCUGCUGCACACUGUGUGUGGUAUGACCCUCUUCCUGCUUGCUUGUUUAAUUCCUGGGGCCAUGCUCCUGGGAAAGGACUCUCAGAAACUCUGGAACCUGGAGAGGGAGGAAAUAUUGGUUUUUCAGGGCUUAGGUCAACCACAUCUUUCUGAAAAGUGUUAAUUCUUAGUUGGAAAAAGGUGACAUGUGGGGAGAAAAUGAUCCUAUAGCCUAAGUUAGCCUUAGAACUCACACUCUACUGUGCGUUAGUGUUAUAAUAAAGUUUGGUGAUUUAAGAUUUAUAAGAAGGGCAAUCAUGGGCCUUUUUGACUUUUGCCCUGCACUUCUUUCCAGCAGCUCAAACUCAGCUCCCAGGCAUGGUUAUGGCCUCAGGAGCAGAGGGUAUUAUUUCACAUGCUUAUCAGUCUUUGCUGGACACGUGAGCCUUCUUCUGCCUUUAGUUUCUUGACCUUCGCUUCUAUUUAUACCUACAAUGCUCAUCCUUUCAAAUAGAGGGUAAUCUAAUAGCAGCUAUCUUUUCAUGUACUCUCUGAAAUAUAAAAAUCCUAAUGGCGUAAUAAUUGCCUUUUAUGCUUUUUAAAUGUCUUCUCUUUCUUUGGCAUUAACUUAUUUUUCAAAAUAGAUCUCUUCCUCCUUCUUUCUCCUGACUGCCUUUUCUAGAAUUGUACUUAAUGUUUUUUGCCAAUAGGCCUUUUUCUUAUAAGUCCUCACAUGUGUUCUAAUUAUAAACCAGCACACAUGGUGACAUAUAUUACUUUCCUAGGCUGGAUUCCAGAAAGCAAUGACAAGCAAAGAAAGAAGAGCUCCAUAAGUAAGCUGAAUUUAGUCUAGGGUAUGGCAGAUUGCCUUUGCUUCUGUAUUCUUUAAAAAUCCACCAGAUAGGAAAAGAAGUUUUAUUUCUAGCUGAGCAGGCCCCAAUGGGCUUCCCCCUUCUCUGCUAAAUUAUAAGCUUCCUUGGGUGAGUAAUAUGUUCUAGUCGUCUUUGAAUCUCACCUCUAGUGCCUUGCAAUGAGUGUUGAACUGCAUUAAAUCACAUUUAGUCAAAUAAAAAGUGUUACUUAACAGCAUUUCAGAUGAAGUCAAGGAAAUAAACUACAUUUUAUGGCAUAGACAGGCCUAGUGUCCCUGCUGUAGCUUACCAGAUAGCUCAUUCAAAAUUUUUAUGUAUCAAAUCUCAUAAUAUUUUUACUUAAAAAACAAAACUCUUUCCCUCAAAUAAGAAAAGUAAUAUAAAGUGGGAGAAAUCAUUCACAAUCCUAUUACCCUGCAAUAUAUCAAAUUAAUAGCAGUGGUCAUACUUUGUCUUUGUAGACAUACAUAUAUAUAGUAGACAUUUAAAACAAACUGGUACACUCUAGGUCCCAAAGGCAAGACGGUAUGAUAUGCAUCUUUCUCUGUGGCCUGCUCUUUCCACUCAUCAUCACGGGUUGAGAACACGUUUUCAUAUCAGUGCAACUAUUUCAACAGGUAUUUACUGCUCCAUCAUAUGAUUGAUUGAUUACACCAUAAUUUAAUCACUUAUCUAAGUUGUUUCUAUUUUUAAAAAGUAUUAUAACAUUUUGAUAUUCUUCUUGUUUGUGUGUGUGUGUUAAGAGACAGCAUCUGCCUCUGUUGCCCAGCUUAACGUGGCCUGCUCACAGCUCACUGUAACCUUGAAUCCCUGGGCUCAAGUGGUUCUCCUG